Molecule: ribosomal RNA, 495 nt
Filed under: uncultured bacterium
Lineage: Bacteria
Description: partial 16S ribosomal RNA
Rfam family: Bacterial small subunit ribosomal RNA
Source: RNAcentral
GAUGAACGCUGGCGGCGUGCCUAAUACAUGCAAGUAGAACGCUGAAGGAGGAGCUUGCUCUUCUGGAUGAGUUGCGAACGGGUGAGUAACGCGUAGGUAACCUGCCUGGUAGCGGGGGAUAACUAUUGGAAACGAUAGCUAAUACCGCAUGACAACAGUUAUUGCAUGAUAACUGUUUAAAAGGGGCAACUGCUCCACUACCAGAUGGACCUGCGUUGUAUUAGCUAGUUGGUGAGGUAACGGCUCACCAAGGCGACGAUACAUAGCCGACCUGAGAGGGUGAUCGGCCACACUGGGAAUGGGACACGGCCCAGACUCCUACGGGAGGCAGCAGGAGGGGAAUUUCGGCAAUGGACGGAAGUCUGACCCGGCAACGCCGGGUGAGUGGAGGAAGUUUUCGGAUCGUAAAGCUCUGUUGUAAGGGAAGAACGAGUGGGAGGGUGGAAAGUUCACACUGUGACGGUAUCUGACCAGAAAGGGACGGCUAACUUCGUG